RNAcentral lists this microRNA precursor (71 nucleotides) under Gasterosteus aculeatus (three-spined stickleback). RNAcentral's name for it is "miR-430 microRNA precursor family". It matches the Rfam family "miR-430 microRNA precursor family". The record is from Rfam by way of RNAcentral. Lineage: Eukaryota; Metazoa; Chordata; Actinopteri; Perciformes; Gasterosteidae.
AGGAUUACCCUUACAAAAACACUGACUUUGGUUCUCAAUACAGUAAGUGCUUAAUAGUUGGGGUAGUUUUG